CUCGCGAUAGCUCAGUUGGUAGAGCGGAGGACUGUAGUGGAUAGGGGCAUCCUUAGGUCGCUGGUUCAAAUCCGGCUCGCGAGA
RNAcentral lists this transfer RNA (84 nucleotides) under Lingula anatina. It matches the Rfam family "tRNA". Rfam says of the family: Transfer RNA (tRNA) molecules are approximately 80 nucleotides in length. Their secondary structure includes four short double-helical elements and three loops (D, anti-codon, and T loops). Further hydrogen bonds mediate the characteristic L-shaped molecular structure. tRNAs have two regions of fundamental functional importance: the anti-codon, which is responsible for specific mRNA codon recognition, and the 3' end, to which the tRNAs corresponding amino acid is attached (by aminoacyl-tRNA synthetases). tRNAs cope with the degeneracy of the genetic code in two manners: having more than one tRNA (with a specific anti-codon) for a particular amino acid; and 'wobble' base-pairing, i.e. permitting non-standard base-pairing at the 3rd anti-codon position. Lineage: Eukaryota; Metazoa; Brachiopoda; Lingulata; Lingulida; Lingulidae. The record is from Rfam by way of RNAcentral.